This 468-nucleotide ribosomal RNA is filed under the name uncultured bacterium. RNAcentral describes it as "partial 16S ribosomal RNA". It matches the Rfam family "Bacterial small subunit ribosomal RNA", at positions 28 to 507 of the family's 1533-position model. The record is from RNAcentral.
GACGAACGCUGGCGGCGUGCUUAACACAUGCAAGUCGAACGGAAAGGCCCUGCUUUUGUGGGGUGCUCGAGUGGCGAACGGGUGAGUAACACGUGAGUAACCUGCCCUUGACUUUGGGAUAACUUCAGGAAACUGGGGCUAAUACCGGAUAGGAGCUCCUGCUUCAUGGUGGGGGUUGGAAAGUUUCGGCGGUUGGGGAUGGACUCGCGGCUUAUCAGCUUGUUGGUGGGGUAGUGGCUUACCAAGGCUUUGACGGGUAGCCGGCCUGGGAGGGUGACCGGCCACAUUGGGACUGAGAUACGGCCCAGACUGCUACGGGAGGCAGAAGUGGGGAAUAUUGCACAAUGGGCGGAAGCCUGAUGCAGCAACGCCGCGUGCGGGAUGACGGCCUGCGGGUUGUGAACCGCUUUCGCCUGUGACGAAGCGUGAGUGACGGUAAUGGGUAAAGAAGCACCGGCUAACUACGUG